This 339-nucleotide long non-coding RNA is filed under the name Brachypodium distachyon (stiff brome). RNAcentral describes it as "long non-coding RNA (BDIS_LNC000043)". Lineage: Eukaryota; Viridiplantae; Streptophyta; Magnoliopsida; Poales; Poaceae. The record is from RNAcentral.
AGAAAUACAGGCAAUUACCCUAAGAUUCACAAACCCUCUCUCUCUCUCUUCGUCAUCGUCGACCCCCUUUCACCCGAUGGGUACCGCGGAAUGACCGAUGUACCCCCACCCCGAUAUCAAAUUUACAGCGAGGUACCCCCGACACACAACCCUUAUCUCUCUCGGCUAAACAACGAAGAAGAAAACCAGCUAAUGGAAAACAAGCUCAGGACCCUAGGUACGUCCGCGAGGCGGCGGAGGAGUUGUGGGUCUACUUCUUGGCCUUCCGGGACGGGACCUUCCUGGCCGGAGCGGCGGCCUUCUUCACCGGCGUCGACCGCUUGGUGGGCGGCUUCCUGC